Molecule: ribosomal RNA, 443 nt
Filed under: uncultured bacterium
Lineage: Bacteria
Description: partial 16S ribosomal RNA
Rfam family: Bacterial small subunit ribosomal RNA
Source: RNAcentral
CCUACGGGCGGCAGCAGUGGGGAAUAUUGGUCAAUGGGGGGAACCCUGAUCCAGCGACGUCGCGUGAGUGAAGAAGUACUUCGGUAUGUAAAGCUCUAUCAGCAGGGAAGAAAGAAAUGACGGUACCUGCCUAAGAAGCCCCGGCUAACUACGUGCCAGCAGCCGCGGUAAUACGGAGGGGGCAAGCGUUAUCCGGAUUUACUGGGUGUAAAGGGAGCGUAGACGGCGAUGCAAGUCUGAAGUGAAAGGCGGGGGCCCAACCCCCGGACUGCUUUGGAAACUGUAUGGCUGGAGUGCAGGAGAGGUAAGUGGAAUUCCUGGUGUAGCGGUGAAAUGCGUAGAUAUUAGGAAGAACACCAGUGGCGAAGGCAGCUUACUGGACUGUAACUGACGUUGAGGCUCGAAAGCGUGGGGAGCAAACAGGAUUAGAUACCCUAGUAGUC